This 155-nucleotide ribosomal RNA is filed under the name uncultured bacterium. Its description in RNAcentral is "partial 16S ribosomal RNA". The record is from RNAcentral.
GUCGGUAACGUCAAAACAGCAAAGUAUUAAUUUACUGCCCUUCCUCCCAACUUAAAGUGCUUUACAAUCCGAAGACCUUCUUCACACACGCGGCAUGGCUGGAUCAGAGCUUUCGCCCAUUGUCCAAUAUUCCCCACUGCUGCCUCCCCCGUAGG